UUUUAGUUCGUAAGCGCCAUGGAUGGCGAAUCGUGCAUGCUGUUACUAAGAAUCAGCAGUAUCGUUUGAAGAUUU
Glossina palpalis gambiensis is the source of this 75-nucleotide non-coding RNA. Lineage: Eukaryota; Metazoa; Arthropoda; Insecta; Diptera; Glossinidae. The record is from Rfam.